AGCAGCCGCGGUAAUUCCAGCUCCAAUAGCGUAUAUUAAAGUUGUUGCAGUUAAAAGCUCGUAGUUGAAUUUCGGGGUCUGUCCGUCGGUCGGGCUUCACGGUCCGUACUGGUGUGAUGGGUUCCUACCUUCUGAAUAACCGGCAUGCCAUUCAGUUGGUGCGCCGGGGAAGCAGAGCUAUUACCUUGAAAAAUUGAGUGCUUAAAGCAGGCUAGUGCUUGAAUAGAUUAGCAUGGAAUAAUAAAAUAGGACGGCAUGGUUCUAUUUUGUUGGUUUCUAGGAUCACCGUAAUGAUUAAUAGGGAUAGUUGGGGGCAUUAGUAUUCAAUUGUCAGAGGUGAAAUUCUUGGAUUUAUUGAAGACUAACUUCUGCGAAAGCAUUUGCCAAGGAUGUUUUCAUUAAUCAAGAACGAAAGUUAGGGAUCGAAGACGAUCAGAUACCGUCGUAGUCUUAACCAUAAACUAUGC
RNAcentral lists this unclassified non-coding RNA (467 nucleotides) under uncultured Glomus. RNAcentral's name for it is "SSU rRNA". It matches the Rfam family "Eukaryotic small subunit ribosomal RNA", at positions 569 to 1042 of the family's 1831-position model. Lineage: Eukaryota; Fungi; Glomeromycota; Glomeromycetes; Glomerales; Glomeraceae. The record is from RNAcentral.